GACGAACGCUGGCGGCGUGCCUAAUACAUGCAAGUAGAACGCACAGUUUAUACCUUCGCUUGCUACACCAUAGACUGUGAGUUGCGAACGGGUGAGUAACGCGUAGGUAACCUGCCUGGUAGCGGGGGAUAACUAUUGGAAACGAUAGCUAAUACCGCAUAAUAUUAAUUAUUGCAUGAUAAUUAAUUGAAAGGUGCAAUUGCACCACUACCAGAUGGACCUGCGUUGUAUUAGCUAGUAGGUGAGGUAACGGCUCACCUAGGCGACGAUACAUAGCCGACCUGAGAGGGUGAUCGGCCACACUGGGACUGAGACACGGCCCAGACUACUAAGGGAGGCAGCAGUAGGGAAUCUUCGGCAAUGGACGAAAGUCUGACCGAGCAACGCCGCGUGAGUGAAGAAGGUUUUCGGAUCGUAAAGCUCUGUUGUAAGAGAAGAACGGGUGUGAGAGUGGAAAGUUCACACUGUGACGGUAUCUUACCAGAAAGGGACGGCUAACUACGUG
This 505-nucleotide ribosomal RNA is filed under the name uncultured bacterium. Its description in RNAcentral is "partial 16S ribosomal RNA". It matches the Rfam family "Bacterial small subunit ribosomal RNA", at positions 28 to 507 of the family's 1533-position model. The record is from RNAcentral.